This 255-nucleotide ribosomal RNA is filed under the name uncultured bacterium. RNAcentral describes it as "partial 16S ribosomal RNA". It matches the Rfam family "Bacterial small subunit ribosomal RNA", at positions 524 to 777 of the family's 1533-position model. The record is from RNAcentral.
UACGUAGGGUGCAAGCGUUGUCCGGAAUUAUUGGGCGUAAAGAGCUCGUAGGCGGCUUGGCAAGUCGGGUGUGAAACCUCCAGGCUCAACCUGGAGACGCCACUCGAGACUGCUAUGGCUAGAGUCUGGUAGGGGAUCACGGAAUUCCUGGUGUAGCGGUGAAAUGCGCGAUAUCAGGAGGAACACCGGUGGCGAAGGCGGUGAUCUGGGCCAGUACUGACGCUGGAGGAGCGAAAGCGUGGGGAGCAAACAGAA